This 1446-nucleotide ribosomal RNA is filed under the name uncultured organism. RNAcentral describes it as "16S ribosomal RNA". It matches the Rfam family "Bacterial small subunit ribosomal RNA". The record is from RNAcentral.
CAGGCUUAACACAUGCAAGUCGAGGGGCAGCAUGGUCUUAGCUUGCUAAGGCCGAUGGCGACCGGCGCACGGGUGAGUAACACGUAUCCAACCUGCCGUCUACUCUUGGACAGCCUUCUGAAAGGAAGAUUAAUACAAGAUGGCAUCAUGAGUCCGCAUGUUCACAUGAUUAAAGGUAUUCCGGUAGACGAUGGGGAUGCGUUCCAUUAGAUAGUAGGCGGGGUAACGGCCCACCUAGUCUUCGAUGGAUAGGGGUUCUGAGAGGAAGGUCCCCCACAUUGGAACUGAGACACGGUCCAAACUCCUACGGGAGGCAGCAGUGAGGAAUAUUGGUCAAUGGGCGAGAGCCUGAACCAGCCAAGUAGCGUGAAGGAUGACUGCCCUAUGGGUUGUAAACUUCUUUUAUAAAGGAAUAAAGUCGGGUAUGGAUACCCGUUUGCAUGUACUUUAUGAAUAAGGAUCGGCUAACUCCGUGCCAGCAGCCGCGGUAAUACGGAGGAUCCGAGCGUUAUCCGGAUUUAUUGGGUUUAAAGGGAGCGUAGAUGGAUGUUUAAGUCAGUUGUGAAAGUUUGCGGCUCAACCGUAAAAUUGCAAUUGAUACUGGAUAUCUUGAGUGCAGUUGAGGCAGGCGGAAUUCGUGGUGUAGCGGUGAAAUGCUUAGAUAUCACGAAGAACUCCGAUUGCGAAGGCAGCCUGCUAAGCUGCAACUGACAUUGAGGCUCGAAAGUGUGGGUAUCAAACAGGAUUAGAUACCCUGGUAGUCCACACGGUAAACGAUGAAUACUCGCUGUUUGCGAUAUACAGCAAGCGGCCAAGCGAAAGUGUUAAGUAUUCCACCUGGGGAGUACGCCGGCAACGGUGAAACUCAAAGGAAUUGACGGGGGCCCGCACAAGCGGAGGAACAUGUGGUUUAAUUCGAUGAUACGCGAGGAACCUUACCCGGGCUUAAAUUGCAGAUGAAUUACGGUGAAAGCCGUAAGCCGCAAGGCAUCUGUGAAGGUGCUGCAUGGUUGUCGUCAGCUCGUGCCGUGAGGUGUCGGCUUAAGUGCCAUAACGAGCGCAACCCUUGUUGUCAGUUACUAACAGGUUCCGCUGAGGACUCUGACAAGACUGCCAUCGUAAGAUGUGAGGAAGGUGGGGAUGACGUCAAAUCAGCACGGCCCUUACGUCCGGGGCUACACACGUGUUACAAUGGGGGGUACAGAGGGCCGCUACCACGCGAGUGGAUGCCAAUCCCCAAAACCUCUCUCAGUUCGGACUGGAGUCUGCAACCCGACUCCACGAAGCUGGAUCCGCUAGUAAUCGCGCAUCAGCCACGGCGCGGUGAAUACGUUCCCGGGCCUUGUACACACCGCCCGUCAAGCCAUGGGAGCCGGGGGUACCUGAAGUGCGUAACCGCGAGGAGCGCCCUAGGGUAAAACUGGUGACUGGGGCUAAGUCAUAACA